This 250-nucleotide ribosomal RNA is filed under the name uncultured bacterium. RNAcentral's name for it is "partial 16S ribosomal RNA". It matches the Rfam family "Bacterial small subunit ribosomal RNA", at positions 524 to 773 of the family's 1533-position model. The record is from RNAcentral.
UACGUAGGUGGCAAGCGUUGUCCGGAAUUAUUGGGCGUAAAGCGCGCGCAGGCGGUUCCUUAAGUCUGAUGUGAAAGCCCCCGGCUCAACCGGGGAGGGUCAUUGGAAACUGGGGAACUUGAGUGCAGAAGAGAAGAGCGGAAUUCCACGUGUAGCGGUGAAAUGCGUAGAGAUGUGGAGGAACACCAGUGGCGAAGGCGGCUCUUUGGUCUGUAACUGACGCUGAGGCGCGAAAGCGUGGGGAGCGAAC